This 335-nucleotide unclassified non-coding RNA is filed under the name uncultured Glomus. RNAcentral describes it as "SSU rRNA". It matches the Rfam family "Eukaryotic small subunit ribosomal RNA", at positions 569 to 903 of the family's 1831-position model. Lineage: Eukaryota; Fungi; Glomeromycota; Glomeromycetes; Glomerales; Glomeraceae. The record is from RNAcentral.
AGCAGCCGCGGUAAUUCCAGCUCCAAUAGCGUAUAUUAAAGUUGUUGCAGUUAAAAGCGUCGUAGUUGAACUUCGGGGGUUUACUCGAUUGGUCAGGCUUAAUUGUCUGUGCUGGUGAGAUGAAUCUCUACCUUCUGAGGAACUUUCAUGCCAUUUAUUUGGUGUGGUUGGAAAUCAGGACUGUUUACUUUAGAAAAAUUAGAGUGUUUAAAGCAGGCUAACGUCUGAAUACAUUAGCAUGGAAUAAUGAAAUAGGACGGAUUGAUUCUAUUUCGUUGGUUUCUAGGGUCACCGUAAUGAUUAAUAGGGAUAGUUGGGGGCAUUAGUAUUCAAUU